This 1382-nucleotide long non-coding RNA is filed under the name Homo sapiens (human). RNAcentral's name for it is "HSALNT0167714". Lineage: Eukaryota; Metazoa; Chordata; Mammalia; Primates; Hominidae. The record is from RNAcentral.
GCCUCGUAAAGAAAGUUCCUGCUGCUUCUUCUGCUAUGAUUGUAAAUUUCCUGAGGCCUCUCCAGCCACGCAGAACUAUGGUGUCAGAAUUGGAACAUGAAGUAGAACUUCCAGUAACCCCUAGGAGCAUCAAGUGACCCAGAGAGGUAACCCCCUCCACCAGGGUCCAUUGCAUCCAUUGCUCUCUCACAGCAACUGAGGCUCAUGGUGGUAACUUUGUGAGACAAGCCUCAAAUUUUACCACUGUACCAAGAAAUGAAAGCCAGAAUGUGGAAUUGGAGCUGGUAAUGACGACGUCAGGACAGGUUCAAAGGAAGCCCAUCACUUGAGUAAAAAUUUAUAGCCCUGCUUGUGCUGUGCUGUGCUGUGCUGUGAGUUUCAGUUCCGGGCCAGCAAAAGAUUUAUCAAAGGAAAGCAACAAGGUGUGUGGAAAUAGAAGAUCCCUGCUCAGGAACCCACUGUGGGCCAAUCAACAGCUUCCCAAAACGAGUCAGGGAGUUCCAGAAGCUCCCAUUCCGGUGCCAGCUGAGAAUCCAUUUGGAUAAUAACGGAGUAAAAACUCUGGUUUGGAGAAAGUUUCUGUAAUGUUUUUCUUUUUCCUUUUUGGUGGAAGGGAGAAUAAAGGAGGAUAUUGCCUGGUAAGCAUGCAAAGAAAAAAAGUCACGCCAAUUUCACUAGAAUUGCCCAGAACCUCAACUCUGGUGAACUGCAGGUGACAACACUUCACACUGUUUACAUGAUUGGGGCUUCCCUGGAAACUGCGCUGACCCUGAGAUGAUUGAACAUUUAGAGUAAAACCCUUGAUGUAGUUCAUAAAAUUGGAUUCAAAUGAAAAGUUUAAUGUGGAGUCAUUCAAAAAUAACACUAAGAGCUCUUCCCUGAAUUCAAAAGAAAAAGGAAGGAAAACAUGUUAGUCUUAGCAGGAGCCAAGGCUGCAGGUGGGGGAAGAUGGAGAGGACAGUGUUUGGGUUUUAUUAUGUUUACUUUUCUCUUACGGAAGAAUAGAAGAUGGAUGACUUGAUGCCUGAGGUAAUUCAGUAUGUUUCACCAAUUUGGAGAUGGUCAUUUGUCCAUACUUAAGUCUCAGUAAUUAUGUUGAAAUAUUAUAAUUUCUGUAAGCUGGGAAGGUUACAAUGUGGUGGUUGUCAUUGCCCGGGCAUGCACAAACUUGGUCGUGAUUCCUGGUGGCAUGAUUAGACAGACAACUGCAACCCCUUGACACUUAAUUCCAGAAAUCAUUUAAGAAUCACUUGAAAAAGGAAUAUAUUAUUGUUCUCCUUCCAAUAACCAAGUGUCUUCUGAAAACCUUUCAUUGUCACUUUCUGGUAAUUGAACAAUGAGAACACAUGGACACAGGAAGGGGAACAUCACACACUGGGAAC